AACGAACGCUGGCGGCAUGCCUAACACAUGCAAGUCGAACGAGACCUUCGGGUCUAGUGGCGCACGGGUGCGUAACGCGUGGGAACCUGCCCUUAGGUUCGGAAUAACUCCCCGAAAGGGGUGCUAAUACCGGAUAAUGUCUUCGGACCAAAGAUUUAUCGCCUUUGGAUGGGCCCGCGUUGUAUUAGCUAGUUGGUAUGGUAAAAGCCUACCAAGGCGACGAUCCAUAGCUGUCUGAGAGGAUGAUCAGCCACACUGGGACUGAGACACGGCCCAGACUCCUACGGGAGGCAGCAGUGGGGAAUAUUGGACAAUGGGCGAAAGACUGAUCCAGCAAUGCCGCGUGAGUGAUGAAGGCCUUAGGGUUGUAAAGCUCUUUUACCCGGGAUGAUAAUGACAGUACCGGGAGAAUAAGCACCGGCUAACUCCGUG
This 432-nucleotide ribosomal RNA is filed under the name uncultured bacterium. RNAcentral's name for it is "partial 16S ribosomal RNA". It matches the Rfam family "Bacterial small subunit ribosomal RNA", at positions 29 to 507 of the family's 1533-position model. The record is from RNAcentral.